Molecule: long non-coding RNA, 100 nt
Organism: Perognathus longimembris pacificus (Pacific pocket mouse)
Lineage: Eukaryota; Metazoa; Chordata; Mammalia; Rodentia; Heteromyidae
Exons: 2
Source: RefSeq, a predicted model, not a curated record
AGUGCUGGUGGCUCACACCUAUAAUCCUAGCUACUCAGGAGGCUGAGAUCUGAAGAUCACUAUUUGAAGCCAGCUUGGGAAAACAGGCUCAAUGAAGCAA